Salvia hispanica is the source of this 1767-nucleotide non-coding RNA. The record is from RefSeq and is a predicted model, not a curated record. NCBI's taxonomy places the organism in Eukaryota, Viridiplantae, Streptophyta, Magnoliopsida, Lamiales, Lamiaceae.
CUUCCUCUCUAUCUUCAUAUCAUUCCCUCUUCUGCAAAUUAGUGAAAACCCUAAUUCUCAUCCAAGAUUGGAAGCUUACUUUUUGAGGGGAAUGUUGUUUGGCUCGAGGCCCAUAGGCCAUAACAUAUGCAUCUUUAUGCAUACGUUUGUAUCGGUUAUUACUAUGUUAGGCGUCGGACCAGGCUUCAUUCCCCCCAAUUUCUAGCUUCCUUGCAAUUGUAAUCCACCCUUGUCGCCGGCGGCCGGCUAUAUUGGCACGCAAGAGCAGAUUGGUGUGAUGAUUAUGAAAGUUGACUUGAGCUUUCAAACAAGAAAAGUACACCCUGCACCGCUACUGCUACUAAUGUAUUAUUUCUUCAUCAUUACCAUUUUCUUUCUAUCUUCUUCAUCUUUUCUAACAAUCGUAAAAUGGGUUUUUGUUUUGUUUCUUAACUUUUUCCGUGUCGGUUUUCCAAUGUGUGUGAACUCCAUCGGAUCUCCUUUUUUUUACCAUACCAUUUUCUACCUCAUGCUCUAUACAAUAUACAAACCAACUUCGAAAUUAAUCGUUGCCCAUUUAUCGGCAGCUUGCUCAUCAUGUCUCAUUUCUGUUACCUUUAUUUUCUCACAGUUGAUUCAGGGUUUCGUACUCUUUUUGCUGCUAAAAAUUAGCAAUCCUCUAUAGCUGCCAAAUUAAAGCCUUUGAAUUUGUGAGAGCCUCAUAACAGAGUUUGAGCCUCAUAGCAAUACGCUUUGAGUUUCUAAUAGUACUUCAUCAAAUUUCGUGGUACCUUUCCAUAAAUUAGAACAUUAAUUAAUUUACAAUUUCACAAUGCUGGUUUCUCAUGUGUGUGUGAGUGUGAAGGUGAUGACUGAUUUAGGAAAAACAUGUAUGAAUGAUUCUUAGCGUGUUGAUGAGCAUAAUUUCUAUUUACUGAUGUGAUAACCUUGCCAUCUCAAAUCACUGUCAUUCAUGAAUAGGAAGAAAAAAAAAAUCAUCCUUUAUUAUAGUACGUGUAAGGGUAUAGGUAUUCUUUUCAAAAUACUAGUAUAUAAACAAGGAAAAAAGAAAGAAAAAAACAACUUGAUAUGAUUUGAAUGAUAAGAAUUGAUGGGAUUUUUCAAAAAAGUAGGUCAGGAGGGUAGAGUUUACUUGAACAAUUGUCCAGUGGGAUAUAGAAAUCAAGAAUAAUAAUGUAAUUGUAUAUACUCCAUGUGUAAGGUUACAUGAUUUAUACUGCUUAUUUAUACUGUGAAAGUCAAUUGCAUUAUGCAUGAGUAUUUUAUUUAACAUGAAUAGCCCCACACAUGUAUAUUGAAAUAUGGAUUAUCUGUAGUGUUUUGUAGAAUUCUUUAUCUUUAUUUAUGGACAAAUGAAUAUAAAUUUAAAGUUUAUGUGUGUACUUGAACCUAUGAUCUUUGGCCUCGGGCAUUACCACUCUACCGCUUGACCAACUCACACACACUCUACACACUCUGUUGAAUUCUUCAUCAUAUCACAGUUUGGGGUUUGAUGAUGCUGUGGAGAGAGAGAUGUAUGAAUGUGGAAAUAGGAAUAGUUGUUGGGGAGAUUGAUAUAUAGAGAGGUAGAGGCACAGGAAAUGAUAUGAAAGAAAUGAUGUGGAAAAGUGAAAUAGAAGGCAUCUGAGUGUGUUUCAGACAAGAAAGGCUGACAAAUUAAACUGGCCUUCUCAUUGUGUCAUCAAUUGCUGAAGCUGAUGCUGAUGCUUCACCCCUAACAUUUAAUGCUUUCAUCUCCUACAAAUUCUCACUAUUUUCAUUUCUGUU